CGCUGGCGGCAGGCCUAACACAUGCAAGUCGAACGAGUAAGAGCCGUAGCAAUACGGAGUUCUGCUAGUGGCGCACGGGUGAGUAACGCGUGGGAACGUGCCUUGGAGUUCGGGAUAACAGUUGGAAACGACUGCUAAUACCGAAUAUUCCCUCAGGGGGGAAAGAUUUAUCGCUCCAAGAUCGGCCCGCGUAAGAUUAGGUAGUUGGUGGGGUAAUGGCCUACCAAGCCUACGAUCUUUAGCUGGUCUGAGAGGACGACCAGCCACACUGGAACUGAGACACGGUCCAGACUCCUACGGGAGGCAGCAGUGGGGAAUAUUGGACAAUGGGCGAAAGCCUGAUCCAGCCAUGCCGCGUGAAUGAUGAAGGCCUUAGGGUUGUAAAAUUCUUUUGCAGGGGAAGAUAAUAACGGUACCCUGCGAAUAAGCUCCGGCUAACUUCGUG
This 445-nucleotide ribosomal RNA is filed under the name uncultured bacterium. RNAcentral describes it as "bacterial SSU rRNA". It matches the Rfam family "Bacterial small subunit ribosomal RNA", at positions 34 to 507 of the family's 1533-position model. The record is from RNAcentral.